Molecule: long non-coding RNA, 1155 nt
Organism: Canis lupus familiaris (dog)
Lineage: Eukaryota; Metazoa; Chordata; Mammalia; Carnivora; Canidae
Exons: 4
Source: RefSeq, a predicted model, not a curated record
AUCAAGAAACUGCAUUAAACCAGAAUCUCUAGCCAUUUUUAGCAUAUGUCUUCAAGAAUGAGGACUGCCUCACUCUACUACCAAAUCACCUCAACACUGCUCUUCUUUUAGUUUUCUUCACAGCUCUUCUUACCUUCAGAGAUAGAAUAUCACUUAUUUUUCAAUUUCAGGAAUAGUUACCGUGUGAAAGCUAUCUGCCUCCCCUCUCCCCCCAACUCCACAGAAAACACUCUAUUUUCUCUUCAUCUGAACAGAGAAAUCAGGAGAAGGGAGAAAAAAUUAGCUCUGUUACUCAGUUACUUCUGUUGCUAAUUGAAAUAUCCAAAGAUUGCUAAAGGGUAACAUGGAAGGAGGAAAUACAACUGCAACCAGAGACAGAAGCCUCAUCUGGAGCAACCUGUUUUAAAGCAAUGUCAGUACUUUAAAUUAUAUUCAAGAACAAGGUAAUGGCCAAUGAAAUCUGGCUUACUAUGUAUUAUGGGAUGCAAUUAUUCACGUAAAUCUUUUAUCAAACACUGAAGAACAGAAAAUCAAUGAAUAAUUCUUUCAAAGAAGUAUAAGUGCAAUGAGACAACUGAGGAAUAUCAGCUUUAAACACUUAGAGAACUAUAAUUUUUAAAAAUUAUUAGUCAAUGAAGCAUUAAUUUAAAAAUAGUGCAAUUAUUUAAUUAAUCAACAUUUCAGGCUAUAAUAUGUACACACAUUCUCUAGCAAAUUCAAGUGUUUUGGAAGAAUGUAGGACAUAUAUUAUAAAUCAAUUAGUUUAAAAAUGUUUCUGUAUUCCAUUUACCUUAUUAACCAGUUCUCAUAUAAGAAUAGAACCCUAACAAAGCAAUUUUAUGAUAUAGUCUUUAUAGAGAAUAUUAUGUCCAAUGGCCAUCCAAUCUGCAGACAUUAUACAAACACAUUUCAUAGAGUAGUUGUGAUAUCUGGUCCCACUAGUUUUGAAUAAAAACAAUAUCACUCAAUAUUGACACCUUAAAGACCAUAUUCUAAUGUUCACUAUACAAUUUAACAAUAAACUCAGCGACUUCCCUACACUCCCAUUAUGCCCUCCUUCCUGAGUAUAUAAUCCUGGCUAAGAUUAUUCUUAUCAGUGCAAGAGGAAGCCUAGAAUGCCACUUAAUGAAAGAAAUUCUCAGGAAACUAGGAUUA